GACGAACGCUGGCGGCGUGCUUAACACAUGCAAGUCGAACGGAAAGGCCCUGCUUUUGUGGGGUGCUCGAGUGGCGAACGGGUGAGUAACACGUGAGUAACCUGCCCUUGACUUUGGGAUAACGUCAGGAAACUGGGGCUAAUACCGGAUAGGAGCUCCUGCUGCAUGGUGGGGGUUGGAAAGUUUCGGCGGUUGGGGAUGGACUCGCGGCUUAUCAGCUUGUUGGUGGGGUAGUGGCUUACCAAGGCUUUGACGGGUAGCCGGCCUGAGAGGGUGACCGGCCACAUUGGGACUGAGAUACGGCCCAGACUCCUACGGGAGGCAGCAGUGGGGAAUAUUGCACAAUGGGCGGAAGCCUGAUGCAGCAACGCCGCGUGCGGGAUGACGGCCUUCGGGUCGUAAACCGCUUUCGCCUGUGACGAAGCGUGAGUGACGGUAAUGGGUAAAGAAGCACCGGCUAACUACGUG
RNAcentral lists this ribosomal RNA (468 nucleotides) under uncultured bacterium. Its description in RNAcentral is "partial 16S ribosomal RNA". It matches the Rfam family "Bacterial small subunit ribosomal RNA", at positions 28 to 507 of the family's 1533-position model. The record is from RNAcentral.